UAAGUAGGUAAGGUAAUCGCUCUCCACCAAUAUAUCGGUGGGGGGAGGAAAGUCCGAACACCCUCGAGCAUAUAAUUUAGUUAUGUGCCCGAUAAAAAAAUAGCGGCUAACAGCCGUCGUCCGCAAGGAUAGAGGUGCGAACAGAGACGCCAAAAUCCGAAAGGAUUGAGGUACCCCGUUUUCACGGGGUAAUUCUUCGCAGUAAUGCGAAGGGUGAAACGGUUAAAUCCUUAUUGGGUGCAAGAGUAAACCCCAGUGAGAUAAAUCGCUAUCUCAUAUGGGUGAAAAGUAAUUCGCUUGAGCCAAAGAGCAAUCUUUGGCCUAGAUAGAUGAUUGCCUAAAACAGAAUUCGGCUUAUUGCCUACUUAGGCU
RNAcentral lists this RNase P RNA (372 nucleotides) under bacterium. Its description in RNAcentral is "RNase P RNA component class A". It matches the Rfam family "Bacterial RNase P class A". Rfam says of the family: Ribonuclease P (RNase P) is a ubiquitous endoribonuclease, found in archaea, bacteria and eukarya as well as chloroplasts and mitochondria. The record is from RNAcentral.